GAUGACCGCUGGCGGCAUGCCUAAUACAUGCAAGUCGAACGAAUAGAUAAGGAGCUUGCUCCUUUGACGUUAGCGGCGGACGGGUGAGUAACACGUGGGUAACCUCCCUAUAAGACAGGGAUAACUUCGGGAAAACGAAGAUAAUACCGGAUAACAUUUGGAACCGCAUGAUUCUACAGUGAAAGAUGGCUUUGCUCUCAAUUAUAGAUGGACCCGCGCCGUAUUAGCUAGUUGGUCAGGUAACGGCAUACCAAGACGACGAUACGUAACCGACCUGAGAGGGUGAUCGGCCACACUGGAACUGGGCCACGGUCCAGACUCCUACGGGAUGCCGCAGUAUGGAAUCUUCCGCUAUGGGCGAAAGCCUGACGGAGCACCGCCGCGUGAGUGAUGAAGGAUUUCGGCUCGUAAACCGCUGUUAUUAGGGAAGAACAUGCGUAUUAGAAACAAUGCACGUUUUGGCGGUACCUAAACAGAAAGCCACGGCUAACUACGUG
RNAcentral lists this ribosomal RNA (497 nucleotides) under uncultured bacterium. Its description in RNAcentral is "partial 16S ribosomal RNA". It matches the Rfam family "Bacterial small subunit ribosomal RNA", at positions 28 to 507 of the family's 1533-position model. The record is from RNAcentral.